RNAcentral lists this ribosomal RNA (484 nucleotides) under uncultured bacterium. Its description in RNAcentral is "partial 16S ribosomal RNA". It matches the Rfam family "Bacterial small subunit ribosomal RNA", at positions 28 to 523 of the family's 1533-position model. The record is from RNAcentral.
GACGAACGCUGGCGGCGUGCUUAACACAUGCAAGUCGAACGAUGAACCCGGAGCUUGCUCCGGCGGAUUAGUGGCGAACGGGUGAGUAACACGUGAGUAACCUGCCCUUGACUCUGGGAUAACUGCGGGAAACUGUAGCUAAUACCGGAUACGACCCUCGGCGGCAUCGCCAGGGGGUGGAAAGAAUUUCGGUCAAGGAUGGACUCGCGACCUAUCAGCUAGUUGGUGAGGUAACGGAGAACCAAGGCGACGACGGGUAGCCGGCCUGAGAGGGUGACCGGCCACACUGGGACUGAGACACGGCCCAGACUCCUACGGGAGGCAGCAGUGGGGAAUAUUGCACAAUGGGCGCAAGCCUGAUGCAGCAACGCCGCGUGAGGGAUGACGGCCUUCGGGUUGCAAACCUCUUUUAGUAGGGAAGAAGCGAAAGUGACGGUACCUGCAGAAAAAGCACCGGCUAACUACGUGCCAGCAGCCGCCGUAA